GGAUACUGAUCUACCAAGGUUUGGUAGCGCUGGUUGCUAACCAGUUGGAUCGUUAAUAGCGAUUUGGGUUCGAUACCUACUGUAUCCGCCA
RNAcentral lists this transfer RNA (91 nucleotides) under compost metagenome. RNAcentral's name for it is "tRNA-Ser". The record is from RNAcentral.